This is a long non-coding RNA of Hypanus sabinus (Atlantic stingray), 253 nucleotides long. RefSeq lists it as uncharacterized. The record is from RefSeq and is a predicted model, not a curated record. The transcript is spliced from 3 exons. NCBI's taxonomy places the organism in Eukaryota, Metazoa, Chordata, Chondrichthyes, Myliobatiformes, Dasyatidae.
AUAGAGUAUAACUGAAAAAGAAAUUGGAUGCCAAGAAUUUCAGUGGAUCAAAAGCAUCUUGGGAUGGAAAAGAAAUUAGCUGCGGCUUCAAGUGCUCUAGAAAGCUACGGGUUUGCAGACUGUCACAGAAGAAGAAGUUAAAGGUGGUUGAAACCCGCAUGCAGAAAGGCAGAAUUCCAGGACAUCACAUGAUGGAGAGGUCCUCAGAUUGUGCAUAUAUUAUUCUUCAGAAACGCUGAAGAUCACCUUUCAC